CGGGUAUAUCAUGUUGAAACACCGGUUCUCAUGCGAUCAUCGAAAUUAAGCAAUGUCGAGCCUGGUCAGUGCCUAUAUGGGUGACCGCUUGUGAAUAUCAGGUGUUGUAAG
Molecule: non-coding RNA, 111 nt
Organism: Acanthosepion pharaonis
Lineage: Eukaryota; Metazoa; Mollusca; Cephalopoda; Sepiida; Sepiidae
Source: the annotation of a GenBank genome assembly